This 75-nucleotide transfer RNA is filed under the name Armatimonadota bacterium. Its description in RNAcentral is "Armatimonadetes bacterium tRNA-Pro". It matches the Rfam family "tRNA". Rfam says of the family: Transfer RNA (tRNA) molecules are approximately 80 nucleotides in length. Their secondary structure includes four short double-helical elements and three loops (D, anti-codon, and T loops). Further hydrogen bonds mediate the characteristic L-shaped molecular structure. tRNAs have two regions of fundamental functional importance: the anti-codon, which is responsible for specific mRNA codon recognition, and the 3' end, to which the tRNAs corresponding amino acid is attached (by aminoacyl-tRNA synthetases). tRNAs cope with the degeneracy of the genetic code in two manners: having more than one tRNA (with a specific anti-codon) for a particular amino acid; and 'wobble' base-pairing, i.e. permitting non-standard base-pairing at the 3rd anti-codon position. The record is from RNAcentral. Lineage: Bacteria; Bacillati; Armatimonadota.
CGGGGUAUGGCGCAGUGGUAGCGCGCACGGUUCGGGACCGUGAGGUCACUGGUUCAAAUCCAGUUACCCCGACAA